CUUGACUAUGAGGAUACUUUCAGUCCAGUUGUCAAGCCCACAACCAUUCGCCUCUUGUUGUCCUUGGCGGUUACUCGUGGAUGGUCUCUUCAACAAUUGGAUGUCCAGAAUGCCUUUCUUCAUGGUGUGUUGGAGGAGGAAGUUUACAUGAGGCAGCCACCAGGUUUUGUUGAUCCAGAUCAUCCCCAUCAUCUUUGCCGCUUGGACAAAGCACUAUAUGGUCUGAAACAGGCUCCUCGUGCUUGGCAUGCUCGUCUUGCGACUGCUCUACGUGUUCAUGGUUUUGUUCCCUCUACGAUAGAUACAUCACUGUUUCUCUUCCAGCGACCAGAUGUCACCAUAUAUCUUCUUGUUUAUGUUGAUGGCAUCAUUCUUGUCAGUUCCUCAGUGCUUGCUGCCGAUCAUCUUCUA
This 411-nucleotide ribosomal RNA is filed under the name Triticum aestivum (bread wheat). Its description in RNAcentral is "partial small subunit ribosomal RNA". The record is from RNAcentral. Lineage: Eukaryota; Viridiplantae; Streptophyta; Magnoliopsida; Poales; Poaceae.